AGCAACGGUUUUAAGUAUUAAUUACGGUGUCGUGACGUUUCCAAUUUUUUAAACAAUAGGUUGACCGUGACUUUCCCGCCAGAUCGAGCCCCGUCCGUCCAUCUGGGUCUUUAAUUUAAAUGGGGAAUCCCACAAACCACUGGAUUACCUAAAUCAGAAUAUUCUCUCCAGUCCAUCUCCAGUCCAGCCAACCAAUCAACCCGCCCGUUCAAUUGGAUCUCCGCAUCCGGAUCUCCCAAAAGUCCAAUUCCAACCUUCUCCGCCGACACAGAUCUGCCUUCCAUUUUUAAAGACUGAAUAAAAAUGAUUGCAAUUCCGUACUUCACUGCUUUAACGACGUACUUUAGCUAUGGAUUGUUGUUUGUUUUUGGCCAAUUCAGAGAUUUCUUUCGCAAAAUUCUUGACUGGUGGAGCACCGACAACCUUCAGGUGAUUUUUUUUUCCGCUUGCGUGCUUCUUUCUGAUUGGCUGUUGACAUUUGGUUCUGGUGAAGCAGGGAUAUGCGCCUAUCUGCUUGGGACUGGAAGAUUUCUAUAUUCGGCGCCUGUAUAACCGAGUUCAGGUAUUUUCUGGAUUGAUUUGAUUGAAUUUUGAAAUUAAUCACGUGCUUUAAUUGAAUUUGAUUAGUGAUUUGACUUUUAAAUCAAGUGAUUAGAAUUAGACUCGAUACUGAUCAAGCAUUCAAUGAACUGAGUUUUUUUUUUUUUAAAUUGAGUCAUGGAGAUUUAUCAUGUGAUUGGGAUUUCUAAUUUGUAAUUCUAUUGUCUGGUUUGGUAUUGAGGUGCUGUAAGCUACAACUAAUGUAGAAAAAAAUGAUAAUUAUAAAAUAAAAGUUAAUAGCACGUAGUAAAUAUAAUUUUUAAUUAAUAUUUUUGAUAAAAUAAGUAAAGAUAUGAUAGAUUUUUCAUUAUAUAAGUGUAAAAUCAAAGCAACUUAGCUUUCAAGCUAGAGGAGUUAGUAUUUACUAUACUUUUAGUGCUGUAGUUUUGAAGUUACAGCUGUCUAACCUCAAUUUCAGACAAGACACAUGUUGACUAGAGGACAGGGUGGAUUUGACAAACGUAAUGGCAAAAGAAUAGUUAUGUUCUUUGUGCAAGUCAUUUUCAGUUAUGUGGUUCUUUAUCAUUUUGUUGUAUCUAACAGGAUUGCUUUGGGAGACCUUUAUCAAGUGCCCCUGAUGCAUGGUUUGAUGUCGUUGAACGUUAUUCCAAUGACAAUAAUAAGACACUCAAGUAAGUAUUUUCUCUUGUGCUUGAUGAUUAUGAUUUAGAUAGGUAUUUAGUUUCUUCUGCUGUACGGCCAAGGCGGAUGUCCGGUACAGCAGAAAAUUCAGAGGUUAAAACCACUUAGAUCGUAUCAAAUUAAAAGGUAAAAACCCCUUAUAAAAACAAAUCACACGGAUGAGAGAGAGACUCCACUCUUUCUAACCCUUCUCACAAACGGUCAUACACAAAACCCCAAACCGCACACCGCACACCGCACACCGCACACCUUCCAUCAUCCUAAUUCCUAUAGUGCUAUUGUUGAUGCAUCAAUCUGGUUAGGAUUUUGACAGAGUUAAAGCUGCCUCUUGUUUCUUCAUUUCUCUUUCUCCUUCUUCACCUAUUUCUUUUUUUUUUUUCUCUCUCUUCAAAAACUCGUCAUUACCAAAGGUAAACUUUAAAACCCACUUGCACAAACACACACAGUCAUUUAAUUCUACCUUCUUUUGUUAAUUUUAACAAAAUUUAAUGCUCACUGUUUUAUUUUAUUUUGCAUGUGGUUUUCACCCAAUAUUUGAAUCAAACAUUCGCAAGGGAUUUUAAGAGCACCCUGUAUUUUUUCCUUUCCCGUUUGCGGCGGCCCAGUGUUUAUGAUUGACACUGAUUUGUUUUUUUGUUUAUUGAUUUACACGGCCACAAGAAUUCACAUAUACUGGAUAAAUAGAUUUCUUUAUUUUUAAAUAAACUUUAAAAUUCGGUCUAAAAAAAUCAAAGUUGAUUUGCGACUCCUAACAGCAACGGUUUUAAGUAUUAAUUACGGUGUCGUGACGUUUCCAAUUUUUUAAACAAUAGGUUGACCGUGACUUUCCCGCCAGAUCGAGCCCCGUCCGUCCAUCUGGGUCUUUAAUUUAAAUGGGGAAUCCCACAAACCACUGGAUUACCUAAAUCAGAAUAUUCUCUCCAGUCCAUCUCCAGUCCAGCCAACCAAUCAACCCGCCCGUUCAAUUGGAUCUCCGCAUCCGGAUCUCCCAAAAGUCCAAUUCCAACCUUCUCCGCCGACACAGAUCUGCCUUCCAUUUUUAAAGACUGAAUAAAAAUGAUUGCAAUUCCGUACUUCACUGCUUUAACGACGUACUUUAGCUAUGGAUUGUUGUUUGUUUUUGGCCAAUUCAGAGAUUUCUUUCGCAAAAUUCUUG
This 2398-nucleotide long non-coding RNA is filed under the name Citrus sinensis (sweet orange). RNAcentral's name for it is "long non-coding RNA (CSIN_LNC000684)". The record is from RNAcentral. Lineage: Eukaryota; Viridiplantae; Streptophyta; Magnoliopsida; Sapindales; Rutaceae.